GACGAACGCUGGCGGCGUGCUUAACACAUGCAAGUCGAACGAAGAGCGAUGGAAGCUUGCUUCUAUCAAUCUUAGUGGCGAACGGGUGAGUAACGCGUAAUCAACCUGCCCUUCAGAGGGGGACAACAGUUGGAAACGACUGCUAAUACCGCAUACGAUCUAAUCUCGGCAUCGAGGAUAGAUGAAAGGUGGCCUCUACAUGUAAGCUAUCACUGAAGGAGGGGAUUGCGUCUGAUUAGCUAGUUGGAGGGGUAACGGCCCACCAAGGCGAUGAUCAGUAGCCGGUCUGAGAGGAUGAACGGCCACAUUGGGACUGAGACACGGCCCAGACUCCUACGGGAGGCAGCAGUGGGGAAUCUUCCGCAAUGGACGAAAGUCUGACGGAGCAACGCCGCGUGAGUGAUGACGGCCUUCGGGUUGUAAAGCUCUGUUAAUCGGGACGAAAGGCCUUCUUGCGAACAGUUAGAAAGGAUUGACGGUACCGGAAUAGAAAGCCACGGCUAACUACGUGCCAGCAGCCGCGGUAAUACGUAGGUGGCAGGCGUUGUCCGGAAUUAUUGGGCGUAAAGCGCGCGCAGGCGGAUCAGUCAGUCUGUCUUAAAAGUUCGGGGCUUAACCCCGUGAUGGGAUGGAAACUGCUGAUCUAGAGUAUCGGAGAGGAAAGUGGAAUUCCUAGUGUAGCGGUGAAAUGCGUAGAUAUUAGGAAGAACACCAGUGGCGAAGGCGACUUUCUGGACGAAAACUGACGCUGAGGCGCGAAAGCCAGGGGAGCGAACGGGAUUAGAUACCCCGGUAGUCCUGGCCGUAACGAUGGGUACUAAGUGUAGGAGGUAUCGACCCCUUCUGUGCCGGAGUUACGCAUAAGUGCCCCGCCUGGGGAGUACGACCGCACAGUUGAACUCAGAAUUGACGGGGGCCCCCCGCGUGGAAUUGUGGU
Molecule: ribosomal RNA, 937 nt
Filed under: Veillonella parvula
Lineage: Bacteria; Bacillati; Bacillota; Negativicutes; Veillonellales; Veillonellaceae
Description: bacterial SSU rRNA
Rfam family: Bacterial small subunit ribosomal RNA
Source: RNAcentral